GUGUCAGCAGCCGCGGUAAUACGUAGGGUGCGAGCGUUGUCCGGAAUUACUGGGUGUAAAGGGUCCGCAGGCGGGCAAAUAAGUCAGAGGUGAAAUGCUUCGGCUCAACCGAAGAAAUGCCUUUGAUACUGUUUGUCUUGAAUCCGAGAGAGGAUAGUGGAAUUCAUGGUGUAGCGGUGAAAUGCGUAGAGAUCAUGAAGAACACCAGUAGCGAAGGCGGCUAUCUGGCUCGGUAUUGACGCUCAGGGACGAAAGCGUGGGUAGCAAACAGGAUUAGAUACCCGGGUAGUCC
This 292-nucleotide ribosomal RNA is filed under the name uncultured bacterium. RNAcentral describes it as "partial 16S ribosomal RNA". It matches the Rfam family "Bacterial small subunit ribosomal RNA", at positions 505 to 796 of the family's 1533-position model. The record is from RNAcentral.